RNAcentral lists this ribosomal RNA (588 nucleotides) under uncultured bacterium. RNAcentral's name for it is "bacterial SSU rRNA". It matches the Rfam family "Bacterial small subunit ribosomal RNA", at positions 338 to 916 of the family's 1533-position model. The record is from RNAcentral.
CCUACGGGAGGCAGCAGUGAGGAAUAUUGCGCAAUGGGGGCAACCCUGACGCAGUGACGCCGCGUGAGUGAUGAAGGCUUUCGAGUUGUAAAGCUCUGUUAGGUGGAAAGAAACACUCCAGCGCUAAUAUCGCUGGGGCCUGACGGUACCACCAGAGGAAGCACCGGCCAACUCCGUGCCAGCAGCCGCGGUAAUACGGAGGGUGCAAGCGUUGUUCGGAUUUACUGGGCGUAAAGGGCGUGUAGGCGGUUGGCUAAGUCAGAUGUGAAAGCCCUUGGCUUAACCAAGGAAGAGCAUUUGAAACUGGCUAACUAGAGUACAGGAGAGGAAAGUGGAAUUCCCAGUGUAGAGGUGAAAUUCAUAGAUAUUGGGAGGAACACCGGUAGCGAAGGCGGCUUUCUGGUCUGAUACUGACGCUGAGACGCGAAAGCGUGGGGAGCAAACAGGAUCAGAUACCCUGGUAGUCCGCGCCAUAAACUAUGGACACUAGGUAUAGGGAGUAUCGACCCUUUCUGUGCCGAAGCUAACGCUUUAAGUGUCCCGCCUGGGAAGUACGGCCGCAAGGCUAAAACUCAAAGGAAUUGACGG